UACGUAGGGUGCAAGCGUUGUCCGGAAUUAUUGGGCGUAAAGAGCUCGUAGGCGGUCUGUUGCGUCGGCUGUGAAAACCCGGGGCUCAACCCCGGACCUGCAGCCGAUACGGGCAGACUAGAGUUCGGCAGGGGAGACUGGAAUUCCUGGUGUAGCGGUGAAAUGCGCAGAUAUCAGGAGGAACACCGAUGGCGAAGGCAGGUCGCUGGGCCGGAACUGACGCUGAGGAGCGAAAGCAUGGGGAGCGAACAGG
This 253-nucleotide ribosomal RNA is filed under the name uncultured bacterium. RNAcentral describes it as "partial 16S ribosomal RNA". It matches the Rfam family "Bacterial small subunit ribosomal RNA", at positions 524 to 776 of the family's 1533-position model. The record is from RNAcentral.